UGGAAAAUGAUGUCAUCUUGGUCACUGAUUCCACAAGUUUCCAUCAGAAAAGUUUUUUUUGGCCCUUCUACAUUUUAAAUUAAAUGAUAUGCGCAAGUAAAAGUUUCAAAACAAAAGUUCCUUUUGCCACUUAGGCCCAAAGCAUGUGCAACUUACGGUUGUGUCUCUACUUAAGUGUGCCAUUAUCUUUUUUCUUGGUUCACUGAUGGGUUAUACCGAAAAUUCUAAAUUUUGAAAUUGGUUGAGCUAGCAUACAUGCAUGUCCGAGCUACAACGAAGAGUGCCGUUGAGUUAUCAUUAUUUUGGAACAUACAACUUUGCACCAAAAUUCGACACUGUAUUUACUAGAGACUUGUUUAAGUGGAAAGAAUGGAGUUUCUUCCAGUUGCUAGCUACACAAACAAUAUGUUCUAUGUGGAAGGUGAGUAUUAUGGUACCCUGUAUUUUUUUGAAAAAUAUUUCUCUCGCUGUUAUUUUGUUUAAAAAAUAUUUGUAGUUAUACAAAAUUAAUGUUUGUAGUAUACAAGAUAGUUAAAAAGCUACAGAUAACAGUGUAAACUCAUGUUGCCAACUUUUCCUUCAUGCACUAAAUCGGCUCAGGGAUCAAACCUUUCUAAGUGAGACGUACAAAUUUAAAGUUUUCGAACCAUACUUUAUUUAAUUUGAUAGCAGAACUUAUCUUUCUUGGAAAAUAGUAAAAGAGAUAAUUGGAUUUGCCUUUGCAAUUGUUUACUAGAGACUUGUUAUUAAAAGGAACGAAUAAGGUUUCUUCCUGUUGCUGGUUAGCAUGCGACCAGUGCAGCUGUGCGGAUGUGUGGCAUGUGCAACUAUAUUGUUAGUUUGGCGCAUAAAGAAACAAUCGAUAAUUGAUUGUCUGCGCCACAUUUAAAGCAGGAGAUCGUGCCAGCAGAGGCCAUGUGCUUGUCUUUCCUUCCUCGGAGAUAUUUAUGUCAAACCUUUUUUUAUUAUUGUUUAACAACUUUUCAAUUUUUUACAUGAUUGUAAACUUAAUUUUCAAUUCUCAUAUGAAACACAUUGAAAUAGACUACCACUUCGUUUGAGAAAA
This is a non-coding RNA of Carica papaya (papaya), 1066 nucleotides long. The record is from RefSeq and is a predicted model, not a curated record. NCBI's taxonomy places the organism in Eukaryota, Viridiplantae, Streptophyta, Magnoliopsida, Brassicales, Caricaceae.